AGAGUUUGAUCAUGGCUCAGGACGAACGCUGGCGGCGUGCUUAACACAUGCAAGUCGAACGGAAAGGCCCUUCGGGGUACUCGAGUGGCGAACGGGUGAGUAACACGUGGGUGAUCUGCCCUGCACUUUGGGAUAAGCCUGGGAAACUGGGUCUAAUACCGAAUAGGACCGCGCGCUUCAUGGUGUGUGGUGGAAAGCUUUUGCGGUGUGGGAUGGGCCCGCGGCCUAUCAGCUUGUUGGUGGGGUAAUGGCCUACCAAGGCGACGACGGGUAGCCGGCCUGAGAGGGUGACCGGCCACACUGGGACUGAGAUACGGCCCAGACUCCUACGGGAGGCAGCAGUGGGGAAUAUUGCACAAUGGGCGCAAGCCUGAUGCAGCGACGCCGCGUGAGGGAUGACGGCCUUCGGGUUGUAAACCUCUUUCACCAGGGACGAAGCGCAAGUGACGGUACCUGGAGAAGAAGCACCGGCCAACUACGUGCCAGCAGCCGCGGUAAUACGUAGGGUGCGAGCGUUGUCCGGAAUUACUGGGCGUAAAGAGCUCGUAGGUGGUUUGUCGCGUUGUUCGUGAAAACUCACAGCUUAACUGUGGGCGUGCGGGCGAUACGGGCAGACUAGAGUACUGCAGGGGAGACUGGAAUUCCUGGUGUAGCGGUGGAAUGCGCAGAUAUCAGGAGGAACACCGGUGGCGAAGGCGGGUCUCUGGGCAGUAACUGACGCUGAGGAGCGAAAGCGUGGGGAGCGAACAGGAUUAGAUACCCUGGUAGUCC
This 771-nucleotide ribosomal RNA is filed under the name uncultured bacterium. RNAcentral describes it as "bacterial SSU rRNA". It matches the Rfam family "Bacterial small subunit ribosomal RNA", at positions 8 to 796 of the family's 1533-position model. The record is from RNAcentral.